RNAcentral lists this ribosomal RNA (254 nucleotides) under uncultured bacterium. RNAcentral describes it as "partial 16S ribosomal RNA". It matches the Rfam family "Bacterial small subunit ribosomal RNA", at positions 524 to 776 of the family's 1533-position model. The record is from RNAcentral.
CACGUAGGGGGCAAGCGUUGUCCGGAUUUAUUGGGCGUAAAGAGCUCGUAGGCGGCUCAGUAAGUCAGGUGUGAAACCUCCAGGCUCAACCUGGAGACGCCACCUGAUACUGCUGUGGCUAGAAUUCGGUAGGGGAGACUGGAAUUCCUGGUGUAGCGGUGAAAUGCGCAGAUAUCAGGAGGAACACCGGUGGCGAAGGCGGGUCUCUGGGCCGAUAUUGACGCUGAGGAGCGAAAGCGUGGGGAGCGAACAGG